Molecule: long non-coding RNA, 739 nt
Organism: Helianthus annuus (common sunflower)
Lineage: Eukaryota; Viridiplantae; Streptophyta; Magnoliopsida; Asterales; Asteraceae
Exons: 2
Source: RefSeq, a predicted model, not a curated record
ACCAUUCCCAAUACCGAAACAUGUCAGGAUCAGGAUUAUCGGUAUCAGGAUCGGGAUGAGGUCAAUAUUUUAUACCAUUUGCUCAUGGCCAGUCUAAAGAAUAUUAUAAACAAAAUCACAAUUGUUUAAUUUAUAUACAAAAAUAGUAUUUACCCUUAUCGGUAAACAUCAAACUCACCAUUUAUAACCCUACCCACCACUUCCUUUUCUCGAUACACAUCAAGUCCCCCUCAACCCAUCAGAUCAAAACACAGAGAGAGAGAGAGAGUGAAGAAACAUAGACACUACGACACAGAGAAGCCGGUGAACUUCCGAUCGCCGAGACCACUCCGGCAAGUGCACAUCUUCAACUGCUAAAGUGUGGAAAGCUGCAAAGAAUGGCUGCGGAUGUAAAGAUAUGGAAAAACCAACUACAAAGGCGAGAACACUUGACAACCUCCUAGAAGAUGGCGCGGUGCACAUAAGGAAGUGAUUGAUCAGAACGAUCAAUUGCUUAUGAAUGAAUACAACCCCAGUGGUGGCAGAUAUGUAAUUAGCGAGCUCUGGAAUUUCAAGAAAAUCGAAGAGCUACACUAAAGGGGGUUAUCAGCUACAUUCUGAAGUGCACCAGUCAUCAAAAGAUCCACAAUUUAUUAAACCAGUACACGGUCUUGUUUACGUUGUAUGAUACGGUGUAUGUUACGGUUUUUUGUUAUCGAGUCUGUAAGAUCUGUCAAGAUUAUCAAGUUUAAGUUAGUAA